This 375-nucleotide unclassified non-coding RNA is filed under the name soil metagenome. RNAcentral's name for it is "partial contains 5.8S ribosomal RNA, internal transcribed spacer 2, and large subunit ribosomal RNA". The stretch from base 1 to 120 matches the Rfam family "5.8S ribosomal RNA", at positions 35 to 154 of the family's 154-position model. The record is from RNAcentral.
GAUGAAGAACGCAGCGAAAUGCGAUAAGUAAUGUGAAUUGCAGAAUUCAGUGAAUCAUCGAAUCUUUGAACGCAUCUUGCGCUCCUUGGUAUUCUGAGGAGCAUGCCUGUUUGAGUGUCAUUAAAUUCUCAACUACACUGACUUUGAAUUGGUGUGGCUUGGAUUUGGGGGGAAAAUUGUUGUGGGCUUUUUGUAUAGUCUGCUCCCCUGAAAUUGAUUAGCGGUACCUUUGUGGAACUGUCUACAGGUGUGAUAAUUAUCUACAUCUUAGACAUCUGCUGGAAUGCUGCUUUCUAAACCUUACUGUAUUGACAAUCUUGACCUCAAAUCAGGUAGGACUACCCGCUGAACUUAAGCAUAUCAAUAAGCGGAGGA